Long non-coding RNA from Balaenoptera ricei (Rice's whale), 384 nucleotides. RefSeq lists it as uncharacterized. The transcript has 4 exons. The record is from RefSeq and is a predicted model, not a curated record. Lineage: Eukaryota; Metazoa; Chordata; Mammalia; Artiodactyla; Balaenopteridae.
GGACGUGGCCGUGCUGCAUGCUGGGAGGCGUAGUCUCUGCCGCACGGACCCUCGGGUGAGGUCGCGCGGUCGCCUUCCCUUCGUAUGGUUGCCAAAGCUGUGUUUUUCUGAAGUCUGAGACUGGACAAGGAACCUUCCACUGCAUGAAUACCAAGAAAGCGACAAACUGCACCCAUCCCAAAGGGGUUGAGUUGGCCACCCAAGAUUCCCAGAGAAAGCAGAUUUCUGGCAGACCGGCAGCUGGAGGCCUUCAGGGUGUUCCGCGUGCCAUCCUGGGGCCUAUCCAGAUGGGAGCUCAUUAAACCUCACAACAAUGUGGAGAGAUCGGUAUUGUUGACCCUGUUGUGACAGAUAAGGAACCUGAGAUUGCGGAAAUCAACUUAA